This 19-nucleotide microRNA is filed under the name Physcomitrium patens. Its description in RNAcentral is "ppt-miR477h". Its record names the gene ppt-miR477h. Lineage: Eukaryota; Viridiplantae; Streptophyta; Bryopsida; Funariales; Funariaceae. The record is from miRBase by way of RNAcentral.
UCUCCCUCAAAGGCUUCCA